RNAcentral lists this ribosomal RNA (256 nucleotides) under uncultured archaeon. RNAcentral describes it as "partial 16S ribosomal RNA". It matches the Rfam family "Bacterial small subunit ribosomal RNA", at positions 521 to 776 of the family's 1533-position model. The record is from RNAcentral.
UAAUACGGAGGAUGCAAGCGUUAUCCGGAUUUAUUGGGUUUAAAGGGUCCGUAGGCGGGCUAAUAAGUCAGUGGUGAAAUCAAGCAGCUUAACUGUUUAACUGCCAUUGAUACUGUUAGUCUUGAGUGAAUUUGAAGUUGCCGGAAUAUGUAGUGUAGCGGUGAAAUGCAUAGAUAUUACAUAGAACACCUAUUGCGAAGGCAGGUAACUAAGAUUUAACUGACGCUGAUGGACGAAAGCGUGGGGAGCGAACAGG